Camellia sinensis is the source of this 218-nucleotide long non-coding RNA. RefSeq lists it as uncharacterized. The record is from RefSeq and is a predicted model, not a curated record. NCBI's taxonomy places the organism in Eukaryota, Viridiplantae, Streptophyta, Magnoliopsida, Ericales, Theaceae.
CGGCGAACUGACCAAACCAGGUAGCAAUGCGUGGAGCCGCCUACACUCUACCAUUGCUAAUCCUCUCGAUUUCAGACCUCUUGCAUCAGAUCUUUGCCUCUCAAGAGUUUCUUCACCUUGAAUUUGCUAAACCUGUAGUUUUUGCCUCCUGUAAUUAAUUUGAUUGACAUGGAUUGAAGAAAACCCCUUUUUCUUAUACAAUUGAAAUAUGAAAGCCC